RNAcentral lists this ribosomal RNA (251 nucleotides) under uncultured prokaryote. RNAcentral describes it as "partial 16S rRNA". It matches the Rfam family "Bacterial small subunit ribosomal RNA", at positions 525 to 775 of the family's 1533-position model. The record is from RNAcentral.
ACGGAGGGUGCAAGCGUUAAUCGGAAUUACUGGGCGUAAAGCGCACGCAGGCGGUUUGUUAAGUCAGAUGUGAAAUCCCCGGGCUCAACCUGGAAACUGCAUCUGAUACCGGCAAGCUUGAGCCUCGUAGAGGGGGGUAGAAUUUGAGGUGGAGCGGUGAAAUGCGUAGAGAUCACUAGGAAUACCGGUGGCGAAGGCGGCCUCCCGGAUGAAGACUGACGCUCAGGUGCGAAAGCGUGGGGAGCAAACAU